Molecule: ribosomal RNA, 372 nt
Filed under: uncultured organism
Description: bacterial SSU rRNA
Rfam family: Bacterial small subunit ribosomal RNA
Source: RNAcentral
GGGGGGAGCAAGCGUUGUUCGGAUUUACUGGGCGUAAAGGGCGCGUAGGCGGCGCAACAAGUCACUUGUGAAAUCUCCGGGCUUAACCCGGAGCGGCCAAGUGAUACUGUCGUGCUAGAGUGCGGAAGGGGCUACUGGAAUUCUCGGUGUAGCGGUGAAAUGCGUAGAUAUCGAGAGGAACACCUGCGGCGAAGGCGGGUAGCUGGGCCGACACUGACGCUGAGGCGCGAAAGCCAGGGGAGCGAACGGGAUUAGAUACCCCGGUAGUCCUGGCCUUAAACGAUGGAUACUUGGUGUCCGGGGUUACAUAGUCCCCGGGUGCCGGCGCUAACGCAUUAAGUAUCCCGCCUGGGGAGUACGGUCGCAAGACUG